RNAcentral lists this non-coding RNA (160 nucleotides) under Caenorhabditis japonica. RNAcentral's name for it is "Eukaryotic large subunit ribosomal RNA". It matches the Rfam family "Eukaryotic large subunit ribosomal RNA", at positions 2825 to 2984 of the family's 3401-position model. The record is from Rfam by way of RNAcentral. Lineage: Eukaryota; Metazoa; Nematoda; Chromadorea; Rhabditida; Rhabditidae.
GAUAAAUGGCUUCUGGCAGCCAAUCGUCCAUAGCGUCGUUGCUUUUUGAUCCUCCGAUGACGGCCCUUCCUAUCAUUGCGAAGCAGAAUUCGCCAAGCGUUGGAUUUUCCACCCACUAAUAGGGAACGUGAGCUAGGUUUAGACCGUCGUGAGACAGGUU